UCUAGAAUUAAGACACUGAGUGGGAAGAGAGAUACAAAUAUGUCCAUAGAAAUAUGGAAGGUUUUAAGCCAGAAAAUCCUUAAAUGAAGGUCUGUAGCAGUAUCUCUCCAGAUAUUUAAAAAUACAAUGAUCACCAAAAUAUGCUAUAAAUGUUUAAAAUGGACUCCUAUCGAAAGUUCAGAGGUUAAAGAUGAUGUUGUUUAUGGUACUCCUAGAAAUUGAUUCUUCUUUAUUUUUUCUUUUCGUUGAGUUUAAUUGCCACUAGAAUUAUUUUCAAGUUAAGAAGAUAAGAGGAUUGACUUUUUAAACUUCAAAAUGAACUUCCCUGCUGUGACUGACUAUAUUCCCCAGUAUGGAGAAUUGUGAGGAACCUGUUGAACAGAAAAGUCUCUGACCAUAAUCAAGGUCACACAGUCAGAAGGCAUCCCAGCACUGUGUUGUUUGAUGAUACUAGUGGACCUUCAUGAAUCAGAACUUUCCAUAUAUGGAGGUUAUUCAGCAUGUCCUUUGUGAGUAAUGGUUACAGGUAUAAGGUGCAUACAGGUAGAUGUGAAGAAGGCAGUGGAGGAUAACAGGAAAAUGGAAGAGAAUGAGGAAAUGUAUGGUCCUGUGGAAGAAACACUGGAAUUAAGGCGGCAUCAAUUGCGGGCAAGGCUGAAUCCAGGUUUUGGGGGCCUGAAGCUUAAUCAAUGUGGAGGACCUCUUUGAGGAAAAGCAUGCAAAAUUACAAAUACAAAAUUAGGUAUUUCCACGGGGGGCAGAGAUGAUUUUCCUGGCUCUGGGCCUCAUGGUUUCACACUACCUUUGUAAUUUCUCUUGGAGCCUUUCAUUACAGAACUAAAGUUGCCUCUGCUCAGCUGUAUUCUUCUUUGAGGUAGGAUUGGACUGGCCGUGUGACACAAUUCUGACCAAUGAGAUGUAGGUGGAAUUCUGUCAGGUACGUUGCCUCACGUGGAUAUAUAAGAUAAAGCAU
RNAcentral lists this long non-coding RNA (973 nucleotides) under Homo sapiens (human). RNAcentral describes it as "long non-coding RNA NONHSAT194135.1". The record is from RNAcentral. Lineage: Eukaryota; Metazoa; Chordata; Mammalia; Primates; Hominidae.